GGGGAAUUAGCUCAGUUGGCUAGAGCGCCUGCCUUGCACGCAGGAGGUCAUCGGUUCGACUCCGAUAUUCUCCAC
Molecule: transfer RNA, 75 nt
Filed under: Salinivirga cyanobacteriivorans
Lineage: Bacteria; Pseudomonadati; Bacteroidota; Bacteroidia; Bacteroidales; Salinivirgaceae
Description: tRNA-Ala
Rfam family: tRNA
About the family: Transfer RNA (tRNA) molecules are approximately 80 nucleotides in length. Their secondary structure includes four short double-helical elements and three loops (D, anti-codon, and T loops). Further hydrogen bonds mediate the characteristic L-shaped molecular structure. tRNAs have two regions of fundamental functional importance: the anti-codon, which is responsible for specific mRNA codon recognition, and the 3' end, to which the tRNAs corresponding amino acid is attached (by aminoacyl-tRNA synthetases). tRNAs cope with the degeneracy of the genetic code in two manners: having more than one tRNA (with a specific anti-codon) for a particular amino acid; and 'wobble' base-pairing, i.e. permitting non-standard base-pairing at the 3rd anti-codon position.
Source: RNAcentral